CCUACGGGAGGCUGCAGUGAGGAAUAUUGGUCAAUGGGCGAGAGCCUGAACCAGCCAAGUCGCGUGAAGGAUGAAGGAUCUAUGGUUUGUAAACUUCUUUUAUAUGGGAAUAAAGUGAGGAACGUGUUCCUUUUUGUAUGUACCAUAUGAAUAAGCAUCGGCUAACUCCGUGCCAGCAGCCGCGGUAAUACGGAGGAUGCGAGCGUUAUCCGGAUUUAUUGGGUUUAAAGGGUGCGUAGGUGGUUAAUUAAGUCAGCGGUGAAAGGUUGUGGCUCAACCAUAAAAUUGCCGUUGAAACUGGUUGACUUGAGUAUAUUUGAGGUAGGCGGAAUGCGUGGUGUAGCGGUGAAAUGCAUAGAUAUCACGCAGAACUCCGAUUGCGAAGGCAGCUUACUAAACUAUAACUGACGCUGAAGCACGAAGGCGUGGGGAUCAAACAGGAUUAGAUACCCCAGUAGUC
This 460-nucleotide ribosomal RNA is filed under the name uncultured bacterium. RNAcentral describes it as "partial 16S ribosomal RNA". It matches the Rfam family "Bacterial small subunit ribosomal RNA", at positions 338 to 795 of the family's 1533-position model. The record is from RNAcentral.